Molecule: ribosomal RNA, 253 nt
Filed under: uncultured bacterium
Lineage: Bacteria
Description: partial 16S ribosomal RNA
Rfam family: Bacterial small subunit ribosomal RNA
Source: RNAcentral
UACGGGGGGAGCAAGCGUUGUUCGGAUUUAUUGGGCGUAAAGAGCUCGUAGGCGGCUUGUCGCGUCGUCCGUGAAAACCCACAGCUCAACUGUGGGCUUGCGGUCGAUACGGGCAGGCUAGAGUUCGGUAGGGGAGACUGGAAUUCCUGGUGUAGCGGUGAAAUGCGCAGAUAUCAGGAGGAACACCGGUGGCGAAGGCGGGUCUCUGGGCCGAUACUGACGCUGAGGAGCGAAAGCGUGGGGAGCGAACAGG